This is a long non-coding RNA of Triticum dicoccoides, 2261 nucleotides long. RefSeq lists it as uncharacterized. NCBI's taxonomy places the organism in Eukaryota, Viridiplantae, Streptophyta, Magnoliopsida, Poales, Poaceae. The transcript is spliced from 3 exons. The record is from RefSeq and is a predicted model, not a curated record.
AUACUUUAUUUCUUCUCAUAGUGAGGUCUUAUCUAUAAGCUUUUUGCUGUCAUGGUUCACACUCAGUUCUCUUCUCUACGCCUAUUCACCAUAAUGCAUUAUAUUGUUUUAGAAAUUGUAGGGAGGUUUGCCUAGAUGUCAAGAGCCAUGUCUAUUCUCUACAACACCUUUGAUACUCUACAACACUGUACGUUUGUAAACAGAAAAGUGUGGCUUAAUUUACACCAUCGUAAUCUCUAUUCCAACCUAGCCUACUGAUCGCUUUCGAGCUCGCCCGCUUCUACCUCGCUUUUGCCUAUUGACUGCUAUGGCUACUGUGCAGCUCUUCCCGAGACGACUUCUUAUCGUGAGCUUGUUCAUCCCAAAUGGUUAAAUGUGAUGGCAUCCAAGAUUGAUGCUCUUGCCCGCUCGACACAUGGAAUAUCAUUUCCCUUCUUCCCCGUGCUCAUCUCAUCACUUGUAAGUGGGUUUACAAGGUUAAGACUGAUGAUACUCUAGAGCGUUACACAACUCGUUUAGUGGUGAGAACAUGGUCAUGACUAAUAUAGAGAGAGAGAGAGAGAGAAAGUCUAUUUAAGACGCAGGGUGAAGAAUAACUUAUUCCUCACCCUAGUCGACCGACCGAGUGACAGACAACCGGCUCAACCAGGUAAAAUUAUACCCCGCCGCCGACCGUCGUAAUUUUAAUUUGACGCAGGAAUUGGUCGGCUGGUCGUGGGAAUUGGGAGGUGCGAGCGGUUUCCACUUUCGACAUCGGAUAGUGCGCGGUCAGCGGCCGAUGGGCUCGUUGUGCUCGGUGGAGGAUUCGCUCGCUUCCCGAUCCUCCUCUCCUCCGAUCUCUCGUGUUAUCCGGAGGCGACAACGGCGGUCGGCGGCGAAGGUUACGGAGCGGUCGGCGAUUCGGGUGCGGCUGCUAUGGCGGCGGCCACUGCCAAAUCACCCGGCUGCUCCGUCAGAGAAGGCGCCGGCGACAGCCAGCCGUCGAAAGGAGAAUACGCUGGUGCCAGCCAUCUUCCGUAAGCGGAGGUGCUGCAAAGGAGCUGCUGAAUAGGGGGAUCAAGAAGAGGCAGGACCAAUAGGAUGGCAGUAUGACACUAUGCCAUUAUGUCAAUGGAGGAGAAGGAGGCCGUGUCAAUGGCAAAGAACAAGAGGAGCACAACAAGGCCCGUGAGGAGGAAGAACAUCACAAGAUUAUCUUCUUUGUUACAGCCAAAGAUGCAGGAACUUAAGGCUCCACAAUUUACAGAGAAAUACGCAAUAUAAGUGUGAUUGCCUCAUGGUUCAUUUUUUACACUGGCCAAAUCUAAGGUACGUAUGAUGCUUAGCGCCUAUCCUUUGCAAGAUGCUAGUUAAUUCAAACUUUAAGUAUAUACUGUCCUUUGCUAUAAAGCUGCAGAGGUGUCAAUCUUUUGUUCAGAAUAUGAUAUCCAAGCUGUAGAGGUGGCACAUAACAUAGGGCCGGAGACAGAAACUUUUGUGAAACAUAGCUUGUGUGAGACUUGUAGCGAAGCUGCAAAAAAAUUAUUGAACUUAACAAGGAAAAGGUAGGUUACCCUUGUAAAUCUGUCAAGUAAUUUUAUAAAACAAAAUUCACUAAAGGAUCAAUUUAACUGAUGAGAGGUCCUAAUCCUGUUUGUACUUUGGUUCGUCUUGUUUUAGUUCCUACUGACCUUGUUCAUGGAUCCAGGAAUCGAGAAACGCAAGAUGAUUUUGCAAGUUAGCAAUAAUUACCGUAAUAAAGCUGCCACACUUGCCUUCUUGGAAGAUCCAUUGAAGAAACAUGGCAAAUCUAACCAAUUGAUGUUUGUUUUAAAGAAACAUAGCUUGAUAUUGUUGCUAGUAGCUUACAGUAACUGAGAACAGGUGACACAAUCACAUUUGAAUGGGCAUGUCUAGGUUUUGCCUCUCAAGGAACACGCAUUCAUUCUCUUCCGAGUUUGAGCUUAACCUGUACUAUACUAUUUCCAUUAGCACUAUGCAUUCCAGUUUUGGACACUCCAAGGUAUGCUUCGCAAAACUAAUCAUUCUCGGAUCAGCACAUCAUAUGACCGAAAAUACAUGGCCUUUAGUUAGCUCAUAGUAACUGUCUACAUGUUUAUUGAUCCAAAGAAGAUGUCUUGUAAAACCGAAUUACAUAAGCAUUUUAGUGUAAAACAUGAUCUGGAUGAUGGCAUUACCCUUUAAUCUGCCUUGGCAUGAUAUGUCCACGUAUAUUCAGUGUGCUCUUUCACUAGAGAACAAUAGUAGUAGUUGUAAGUUUC